ACCCUAGGACAUGAAGAAGAGUCUGACUUGUAGAAGAAGUCACAAGGUGGUGAUUUAUCUCCCUUCAGUUUGGAGAGAUGCUGGGAGGAGAGUAGUGACCUAAAGCAAAAGAAAGGAGAAAUUUGUAAGGUAAGCCUGGAAGUUAUGGUAAACACUGUCUGAAAUUCUGGAGAGCCAGGCAGCGUAAACAAGGUUUAGGCAGACGGACCCAUGAUCUGACUCAGUACAAUGCAGCUUCCUGUGGUUGUAUGAAAAGCCCCCAUAUAGGAGUCUCACUGGGGGCAGCAGUGUGUGUAUGUGUACAAUAGGUGCUGUGGCUGCCAAGCAGAGGAGACAUCAGGGGAGUGAUGGCAGAGUUGGGCCUCCGCUAGCCAUGCUCUUUCUGAUGCGUUCACAGUAAAGAAGCAAACCUCUGUGAUUCCAUGCUGAACAGGGGGGAACUAAAUUGGCUCAGGCUCUUGCGUCAUGGGAAGCGUGAAGGUUUGAGUUGGCUGGCAAGGUGGUUGUAACCUUGGCACCUGGACAGAAACCCCUUUAUUCCAAGCCUUCUUCUACCUAGUAACUACUGGAGUUGGCUGCAUCAUCACAAGCUGCCCAGCACUCACCUCAGGCCUUCUCAGCCAUGAAGAAGAGAGCAGGCCAAACCCACAGCGGUUCGCCAGUGUCCCAGGGCUCCCCGCUCUUAAUAGGCCACUGCUAGAAACAAGGAAGUCUCUGGCUCCCACCAGGAGUUAAUUAACAGAAGGAAAACACUUUUAAAGGCUGCCAAGCAAGCAAUCGACAGUGUCAGGCAAGGUUACCACUACACAAACUGAGCUCAGCUACACAACUUUUAGCCAGGAUCCACAACACGCACACACACAGAGCUGCUGUCAAUCUCUGUGAAUGAGCAGCUCACCAACAAAAUGCCUGAGGAAAGGGCAGUGGUUCAGCUGGGAAUCCAAGUUAUUUGCCUGUUGGCUAGGAUGGCAAGGCCAGGGAUUGCUUCAGACCUGUGGAGGACCAACCAGAAUACAGGCACUGAGAAGUCUCAGGUCUGAAAACAUUCAGGUGAAGCAAGGAAAAGAACUAGUCAAGAUGGAGCGUCCUGAAUUAUGCCACUUAUCAUUGGGAUCCUACCCACAGGCAAAAGUCUGGGGGAAGAGGAUUGACGCAAAUAUAGGUUUGUGUGUGAAAGCUUUCAUGCGUUGGUAGCUUCUCAUUUGGAUUAUUAGAAUGUGUUUGUGGGUGGGGCUGCGUGUCUCUGGAGUCAGUCGGGAAGCUUCAGCAGAUGCCAAAUAUGGCUGUGAGAGUGUUAAUUGGGACCAGACAUUAUGAACAUAAUAUCUCACACUUUUCUCAUCCUCACUGUCUCCUAAUUCAAAGUGCUGGUUUUGGCCUAAAAGGCCUACACAAUUCAGGGCCUUGGGACUUGAAGGGACGCCUCUUCCUGCCUAUAUGGUGAGCUCAUCUGUGGGUGCCCUUUUCCAGGUGCCCCCUCAGCCCCAAGUUAUGAGGGUAGUCAUGAGAGGGAGAGAGAGGGUCUUUUCAGUGGCAGAAAGUGUUCCUGAGGAAGUUUGCCUUCUCUGGCAUCCAUGUUCUCUUUUUGGCAUCAGGCUUAAGACUUUUCUGUUCUCUCAAGCUAUUUAAUAUCAUGUGUUUGGUUUUCUUUUUAGUUCCUGUGAUAGUCUUAGUGGUCUUUAUGUACUUCUAUAUUUGCGGGUUGUUUUUCAGCUCCUGUGAGUUGUAUUGUAUUUUAUUUUGUUGUUCUUUUGGCUAGAUGUUUAAGUUACAGUCUGAAUUUUUAUGGUGCUAUUAUGCUUUUCAUUUAUUUGCAUUAUGUCCGGAGAACUUAUUUAUGAGGCAUCUGACAAAUAUAAACAAAUAUAUAAUAAAUAAAUAAUGGUAUUACUAAUUAGUGAGGAAUUGGGUAGAAUUUUGCCUGCCCUUCUAUCUGCAUGUGUAAAUUGCCUAGAGACUUUGAGGGGAAGGGAGAAGGGGGAAGAAGGAAAGGAAAAGGAAAUUCAGGAAUGAAGCCCCAAAUUUGCCUGAGGUAUCCAGACUCCUACCAUGACAACAGCUCAGAUCAGAAUGUUUAGAGUUGACAAACCAAACCCUCUCACAUCAGCAGCCAAAAAGUCUUUAUAAAGUUAGCUCAGGCAGAACAGAAUUCAGAGGACACAAGCAGAGUAUUCUCGAAAGCCACGUUGCUAUCUCUGCCCAGUCCCUCAUGCUCCUAAGGCUGGCCUCUGUGUCUAAGACUAAGAUGGACAUAAAGGCCUGGCUCAGAGAUUCAAACAAAGAAGAACAAAUCUCUUGUUUAGUGUCAGUCAUUAAACAACUCAUGGGGCUUACAGAAUAACCUAACAAAGUCCUUACUAUGUCAGAUGAAUGGUCUCUCUGCGUACCUUGCCUGUGACAGCAACUAGCUUGAGAUGACCCUUCGACAAGGCAAACAGCAGAACAGGCUUCUACAAGAACACUGAAAGAUGAAUAGGAAGGUGCCAUAUGACAUACCCAUUUGUCCACCUGACUCAUUGUCUCCAUUACACUGGCUGUGCUCAUGCCUCAUGGUCAGCCACAAACAUGGAGAACUGCUACCAGUCAGUGGUCCUAUCUGCAUGUUGCAGAAAGCCACAAACCAUGGCUUACUGUGAACAAGCAGAGUGCUAGUCCAUGCUGCUGAAUCACUCCCAUUUUACUCCACUCUUCCUCAAACUGGGAGGAACAAACAAGACUUGGCUUACUAUUACAUCUGAAGCAGCACUCGUGGGUUUGCCCCCUGCUCCAAACAUACCACAAUGGUUAACCAAGGUUUGCUCAUUGCUUUCAAAUUGUGUUUUGAACAAACCAUGAGUGCUGGGUCAUAUGCCAUGGGAAGCCAAGGCUUGUGGUUUGUUGCUCCCAGCUUCAGGAGGGCAGCGAUUUAGCAGCAUGCACUAGCAUAUGAAAGGGCCCACUGACUGGCAGCAGACCGCCAGGGUUUUGGACCCACUUGGAGAAGCAAUAGAUUGGAGACCUGUCAUUAAUGCAUGUUGUCUGUUUACCCUGUUAAAUCCACAUCACAACCAUGUCUGGAUUUUAUUCCACUGUGUGGUGGUUCAGCGGUUCAGGCUGCUUAUACCCCAUUUUGUAUUCACUCCUCUUCCAUCAUUAUGCCCACUGAUUUAGCACACAGUCAGGAAGCACUUUAGGAAUUGGUAGGUAUCAUUCCCUGAGAUAGCCCCUAACUCACAACUGGAAGCUAGCCUUGUGAACUGCACUGCAUAUCUACGUUCUUGUCAGUUUUGUGGAACAGCAGGAACUGGGAUAAGUUAUCUCUACAGUGGGUCUGCGUGGGAAGCAGAGAGUUUCUGACCUACGGAGAAGGAAGGAACGGGUAUGGAAUAAAACCAACAUAUAUUUAUUUACCUACCUACUUACGACUCAAAAUGAUGUGUCUGAGUGGUGCACAAUAAAACCAUUCCAUAAAAUGCAAAAUAGGUUAAAAUACAGAUCACAAAUCCCAACUGCAACAUACACGGAUGUCUAAUGCCAGAAACAAUUUGUGAAGAAGUAAAAAUACAGUUGAGCCUUCAUCAGGAAAGACACAGGUUAAAAAAAAAGAAGAAAAAGUAAAAGUAAAAAGAGGAUGUCCUAAGGAGUGACCAGCCAGAGGACUGCUGGACCUUUUGCUCCCCAAAGCCUCAGAGCUCUGGGAAAGGGUUAUUGGGCUGCUAUAGACCCCACCAGCUGACCAAACUCACUUGGACAAGACUGAACUUCUGGUGCCUAUGGCAGAUAUCGUUGGAUAUCUGAUAUGGAUAUGGCAGAUAUCGUUGGCACUGAGAGAGGCAAGGCACAACUCACUAAGAAGGAGUAGUUGCUGCUGCUAUAAUGGCUUCUGGGACUACCAGUAUAUUCUCUGGGGAAAGAAAUGUAAGGUUUGUACCAAGGGCCAAAGCUCAAUUUGCAGUUGACACACUUUACCUGUUUUGUCUUCAACAGGGGCUCCCAUCUGAGUGUAUCCCCCAUGGAAUUGAUGGAUCACAGGGCGUUCCAGUUGGGCAUUCCCUUUGGACAGCAGGUCAGUCUCCCUCUGUAUAAGGCAGGUUCCUAAGUAUGCCAAUAUCAUAACCUUAGACUUGGCCUAGUAAAGGUAGAUGCAAUGGAAAAUUUCCUUGGGAUAUAAAGGCAGCAAAGAUGGGAUAUAAAGGCAGUAAAAUAAAUACUUUCCGUUUUGUCUACUCACCACACUCCAUUUACAGCACAUGUAAGCCAAUUAUUCCUAGUUUUUCUCUUCUGUCUGCUUCUGAAAGCAAGUUAGUGACUUUCCCACAAUCCUCUACUUAGAUGAGAGAGACAGAAAUCACCCACCCCCAUCCAUCUUCCCUCUCUCCACCCCCCUUUCUUUUUUCCUUUUUUUUUCUUCUCCCCCUAAUGCUUCAACAAAUGAAACAGAUUUGUAAAAAUGUUACAUGGGGAAAAAAAAUACGAGGCAUUACACUUCUGU
This 4471-nucleotide long non-coding RNA is filed under the name Podarcis lilfordi (Lilford's wall lizard). Lineage: Eukaryota; Metazoa; Chordata; Lepidosauria; Squamata; Lacertidae. The record is from RNAcentral.